ACUGGAACCGCAGAGAUGUGGGUGUGCCCGAAAGGGAACCUAGACACAGGUGCUGCAUGGCUGUCCCCAUCUCGUGUCGUGAGAUGUUGGGUUAAGUCCCGCAACGAGCGCAACCCUUGCCAUUAGUUGCUACAUUCAGUUGGGCACUCUAAUGGGACCGCCGGUGACAAACCGGAGGAAGGUGGGGAUGACGUCAAGUCCUCAUGGCCCUUAUGGGUAGGGCUUCACACGUAAUACAAUGGUCGGUACAGAGGGCUGCCAACCCGCAAGGGGGAGCUAAUCCCAGAAAGCCGAUCGUAGUCCGGAUUGUAGUCUGCAACUCGACUGCAUGAAGCCGGAAUCGCUAGUAAUCGCGGAUCAGCAUGUCGCGGUGAAUACGUUCCCGGGUCUUGUACACACCGCCCGUCACACCAUGGGAGUGGGUUCCACCAGAAGUAGUUAGCCUAACCGCAAGGAGGGCGAUUACCACGGUGAGAUUCAUGACUGGGGUGAAGUCGUCGUAACAAGGUAACCGUAA
Molecule: ribosomal RNA, 517 nt
Filed under: uncultured bacterium
Lineage: Bacteria
Description: bacterial SSU rRNA
Rfam family: Bacterial small subunit ribosomal RNA
Source: RNAcentral